UACGUAGGGGGCAAGCGUUGUCCGGAUUUAUUGGGCGUAAAGAGCGUGUAGGCGGCCAUACAGGUCAGCUGUGAAAACUCGAGGCUCAACCUCGAGACGUCGGUUGAAACCGUAUGGCUAGAGUCCGGAAGAGGAGAGUGGAAUUCCCGGUGUAGCGGUGAAAUGCGCAGAUAUCAAGAGGAACACCAGUGGCGAAGGCGAGUCCCUGGACAACACCUGACACUGAGGCACGAAAGCUAGGGGAGCAAACAGG
This 253-nucleotide ribosomal RNA is filed under the name uncultured bacterium. RNAcentral's name for it is "partial 16S ribosomal RNA". It matches the Rfam family "Bacterial small subunit ribosomal RNA", at positions 524 to 776 of the family's 1533-position model. The record is from RNAcentral.